GCGCCUGUAGCUCAGUUGGAUAGAGCAACGGCCUUCUAAGCCGUGGGUCAGGAGUUCGAAUCUCUUCAGGCGCGCCA
RNAcentral lists this transfer RNA (77 nucleotides) under Candidatus Borkfalkia avicola. Its description in RNAcentral is "tRNA-Arg". It matches the Rfam family "tRNA". From Rfam's summary of the family: Transfer RNA (tRNA) molecules are approximately 80 nucleotides in length. The record is from RNAcentral. Lineage: Bacteria; Bacillati; Bacillota; Clostridia; Christensenellales; Christensenellaceae. RNAcentral also lists the same sequence under 2 other names.